RNAcentral lists this ribosomal RNA (331 nucleotides) under uncultured bacterium. RNAcentral describes it as "bacterial SSU rRNA". It matches the Rfam family "Bacterial small subunit ribosomal RNA", at positions 568 to 898 of the family's 1533-position model. The record is from RNAcentral.
CAUGUAGGCGGUUUUGCGCGUUUCGCGUGACAGCGGGUGGCUUAACUACCCGAGGGUGCGAAAGACGGUGAGACUUGAGGGCCAGAGAGGGACACGGAAUUCCGGGUGGAGUGGUGAAAUGCGUAGAGAUCCGGAGGAACACCGAAGGCGAAGGCAGUGUCCUGGCUGGUGACUGACGCUGAGGUGCGAAAGCCAGGGGAGCGAACGGGAUUAGAUACCCCGGUAGUCCUGGCCGUAAACGAUGACCACCAGGUGUGGGAGGUAUCGACCCCUUCCGUGCCGGAGGAACCCACUGAGUGGUCCGCCUGGGGAGUACGGUCGCAAGAUUAAA